This 322-nucleotide unclassified non-coding RNA is filed under the name soil metagenome. Its description in RNAcentral is "partial contains 5.8S ribosomal RNA, internal transcribed spacer 2, and large subunit ribosomal RNA". The stretch from base 1 to 120 matches the Rfam family "5.8S ribosomal RNA", at positions 35 to 154 of the family's 154-position model. The record is from RNAcentral.
GAUGAAGAACGUAGCGAAAUGCGAUAAGUAGUGUGAAUUGCAGAAUUCAGUGAAUCAUCGAAUCUUUGAACGCACAUUGCGCCCCUUGGUAUUCCAUGGGGCAUGCCUGUUCGAGCGUCAUUUGUACCUUCAAGCUUUGCUUGGUGUUGGGUGUUUGUCCCGAGGGACUCGCCUUAAAGUAAUUGGCAGCCAGUGUUUGGUUUUGAAGCGCAGCACAAGUCGCGAUUCAAGGCUACACGCCCGCUUCCACAAGCCUUUUUUCACUUUUGACCUCGGAUCAGGUAGGGAUACCCGCUGAACUUAAGCAUAUCAAUAAGGAGGA